Molecule: ribosomal RNA, 167 nt
Filed under: uncultured bacterium
Lineage: Bacteria
Description: partial 16S rRNA
Rfam family: Bacterial small subunit ribosomal RNA
Source: RNAcentral
CCUACGGGGGGCGGCAGUGGGGAAUAUUGGACAAUGGGCGCAAGCCUGAUCCAGCCAUGCCGCGUGAGUGAUGAAGGCCUUAGGGUUGUAAAGCUCUUUCGCACGCGACGAUGAUGACGGUAGCGUGAGAAGAAGCCCCGGCUAACUUCGUGCCAGCAGCCCCGGUC